RNAcentral lists this long non-coding RNA (1095 nucleotides) under Strigops habroptila (Kakapo). RNAcentral describes it as "lncRNA (ENSSHBG00005008649.1)". The record is from RNAcentral. Lineage: Eukaryota; Metazoa; Chordata; Aves; Psittaciformes; Psittacidae.
GGGCGUGAGCGGAAGAGGGCGCGGGCGCGCCCGGCCGUUCCCCCGCAGGCCGCGGUAGGUCGGCGGCGGCAAAGGGCGGGCAAGGCGGGCAGUGGCGGGCGGCUCCGCCCCGCCCCGCCCCGCCCCGCUGCUUCCCUGCCGGAUCCCUUCCCCUUCCUAUUGCAGAGCUCGACUGGGGUCCGUGUGUGCUCGCGCUUCGCGCCUCCCGCGCGUGGCUGCGGCCCGUGUUUCUGCGCGAGUGGCUGGGCCGUGCCGUGCCGUGCCGUGCCGUGGCUCCGCCGGCCCUCGCUGGCGAGGUGCUGCGCGUCUUGUGCUGUGCUAGGAGAGAGCCGCUGCUGGUGAAGAGCGUGGGGCAAGUAGUCUGCGCUAAGGCACCAGUGUGAGCUUCUGGCUGGCUUCCAGCGCCUUCCGCCCUGCUCUGCUCCGCUCCGCUCCGAACAGGGACGCGGCAGUGCCCUGGGCGAGGGAGGCCUGGCCUGGACUGGCCUGGCUGUCGCGUGCUGCCCUUUAGCUGAGUAAAACUGUACGGCUUCUCUUCGGGCAGCAGGUGGGGUGCCAUCAGAAGAGUCGUAUUUGAGUAGCAUCAGUAAAAGAAAAAAAUCUUGGAUGGAUUCAAAGAUCAAGGAAAAAUUUUCCAUUUAGAGCGCAACUUCAGAAUCCACAGGCCUUCAUCCUGCAGGCAAAUGUUCUACUCUACCAACAUAUGAUGAACUAAAAACCUCAACCAAACAACUCUACAGCUUGGAUUGAAUUGAAAAUAAAUAUUCUGAAGAUGGCUAUUAACUCAUGUUCUUCUGUUGUAAGACUUAAAUGAUAAGUAUUGAUGAUUCCUGGUACUGGGGUUUGGUAUCUUUAACCUAAAAGGUAACUCAGAAAUUGCCAAAGCAGGUUAUUCGAUAGUGGACUUGUUAACUGAAACAGGAGGCGGGCAGAGGUCACAGAACAUUCCUAAGCUCUAAAUAAAGGUAGGAAGGGAAAAUGAGAAUUUUAGGGUUUUAAAAUAUAAAUAUUUUAGUUGCAAAAAUUUAUUGAAUAACAUCAAGAUUAAAUUGCUUUGAUGUAAUAUGCUUGCACUGCAAAAUAUGAAUCAGAAAA